CCCUUAGAUGUUCUGGGCUGCACGCGCGCUACACUGAUGCGCUCAACGAGUUUACGACCUUGCCCGGAAGGGUUGGGUAAUCUUUUUAAAACGCAUCGUGAUGGGGAUAGAUUAUUGCAAUUAUUAAUCUUUAACGAGGAAUUCCUAGUAAGCGCGAGUCAUCAGCUCGUGCUGAUUACGUCCCUGCCCUUUGUACACACCGCCCGUCGCACCUACCGAUUGAAUGGUCCGGUGAAGCCUCGGGAUUGUGGCCAGUUCACUUUAUUGGGAGUUGGCUGUGAGAACUUGUCUAAACCUUAUCAUUUAGAGGAAGGUGAAGUGGUAACA
Molecule: ribosomal RNA, 327 nt
Filed under: uncultured eukaryote
Lineage: Eukaryota
Description: partial 18S ribosomal RNA
Rfam family: Eukaryotic small subunit ribosomal RNA
Source: RNAcentral